UGAGGAAUAUUGGGCAAUGCCCGCAAGGGUGACCCAGCAACGCCGCGUGGAGGAUGAAUGUCGUAAGAUUGUAAACUCCUGUUAGAGGGGAAGAAUAGUACCGGUUGGACCGGUAUAUGACUGUACCCUCAGAGAAAGCCCCGGCUAACUACGUGCCAGCAGCCGCGGUAAUACGUAGGGGGCAAGCGUUGUCCGGAUUUGCUGGGUGUAAAGGGCGCGCAGGCGGGAUAAAAAGUCAGUGGUGAAAUCCUACAGCUUAACUGUAGAACUGCCUUUGAUACUUUUAUUCUUGAGUUCGGGAGAGAGAGACGGAAUUCCAGGUGUAGUGGUGAAAUACGUAGAUAUCUGGAAGAACACCAGUUGCGAAGGCGGUCUCUUGGUCCGACACUGACGCUGAAGCGCGGAAGCGUGGGGAGCAAACA
Molecule: ribosomal RNA, 422 nt
Filed under: uncultured bacterium
Lineage: Bacteria
Description: bacterial SSU rRNA
Rfam family: Bacterial small subunit ribosomal RNA
Source: RNAcentral